Molecule: ribosomal RNA, 305 nt
Filed under: uncultured bacterium
Lineage: Bacteria
Description: bacterial SSU rRNA
Rfam family: Bacterial small subunit ribosomal RNA
Source: RNAcentral
GUUGUCCUACGGGACGCAGCAGUGGGGAAUCUUCCGCAAUGGGCGCAAGCCUGACGGAGCAAUGCCGCGUGAACGAAGAAGGCCCUCGGAUUGUAAAGUUCUGUCCUUAUCGAAGAGAGGGUAUAGAGUGAAAAAUGAUAUACUAGGACGGUAGAUGAGGAGGAAGCCCCGGCUAACUACGUGCCAGCAGCCGCGGUAAUACGAAGGGGGCGAGCGUUGUCCGGAAUCACUGGGCGUAAAGGGCGCGUAGGCGGUAAUAUAAGUCAGAUGGGAAAGGUGGGGGGUCAACCCCUAGAGUGCAACUG